Molecule: small RNA, 115 nt
Filed under: Pseudomonas aeruginosa
Lineage: Bacteria; Pseudomonadati; Pseudomonadota; Gammaproteobacteria; Pseudomonadales; Pseudomonadaceae
Description: PrrF
Rfam family: PrrF RNA
About the family: PrrF RNA is a small RNA involved in iron homeostasis and is found exclusively in Pseudomonas species. Their expression is induced under iron limitation by the ferric uptake regulator (Fur) and they act to negatively regulate several genes including sodB and sdh.
Source: RNAcentral
CUGGUCGCGAGAUCAGCCGGUAAGCUGAGAGACCCACGCAGUCGGACUCUUCAGAUUAUCUCCUCAUCAGGCUAAUCACGGUUUUUGACCCGGCACUUUGCCGGGUCUUUUUUUG